This 227-nucleotide ribosomal RNA is filed under the name uncultured bacterium. RNAcentral's name for it is "partial 16S ribosomal RNA". It matches the Rfam family "Bacterial small subunit ribosomal RNA", at positions 28 to 254 of the family's 1533-position model. The record is from RNAcentral.
GAUGAACGCUGGCGGCGUGCUUAACACAUGCAAGUCGAGCGGUAAGGCCCUUUCGGGGGUACACGAGCGGCGAACGGGUGAGUAACACGUGGGUGACCUGCCCUCAGCUCUGGGAUAAGCCUGGGAAACCGGGUCUAAUACCGGAUAUGACUCCAUGACGCAUUGUUGUGGGGUGGAAAGCCUUGUGCGGCUGAGGGAUGGGCCCGCGGCCUAUCAGCUUGUUGGUU